RNAcentral lists this long non-coding RNA (2350 nucleotides) under Helianthus annuus (common sunflower). RNAcentral's name for it is "hypothetical non coding rna". Lineage: Eukaryota; Viridiplantae; Streptophyta; Magnoliopsida; Asterales; Asteraceae. The record is from RNAcentral.
GUAAUGUUAUUCUCUCUAUAUAUAUGGAAGGAUGUAAAUAGUUGGAUUCAUAUGCUGUCCUCUUGCUUUGAUUUUCAUUCAUAACAGUUUGACUCUUGACAAGCUAGAUGGAGGCUUGGAAUGAAGCGGGUCAAACGGAGCAAGUACGAAAAGGAAAGCGUAAUUUGGAUGCGAGGUAAGUAAAGCUUACGCCCUCUUUUGUAAGUUAUGUGUUUAUUCAUAGGUUGUAAAUACGACAAAAGCUAUAUUUGAAAUAUGGUUCCGACACGAAAUGAAACGGGUCGGGACAUAUAAAAUAAUGAUAAACCAUGUUUAAUGGUAAAAUGGGCGAAAUGGUAAUUGGUCACGAGAUGACAUAAGCCUAAACGAAUAAAAAGAGUAAAACGACGAAUUAGUCAUGUGUAGACGAAAAAGAGUUGAAGUUUAAAACAACACCAUUUAAUAUUAAGCACAAAAUAUUUGGUAGUCUAGACCAAACGGGUCAAAUGGUAAUAUUUAUACCAUUUGAUAAUUAACGACUAAUAAGUGUAUGUCGAGUCUCAUGCUCGCAGGGUAAUUGGUUUAUGAAUUAGCGAGGCUAUGAAUUAGCAUAUUAUAGAGACAAGGUCUUAAAACGGGUCAAUAUGUUGACCCGAGCCAGGUACGCUUAUAUAUAUAUAGAUGUAUAGUUAAAAGUGUAUAACUUCCCUUCACGGGUCAAAAGGAGUAGAUAGGUAAAACGGGUUAAGAAUUCAUAAGAAACCCGUAAUUUGAACCUUGCACAUUAGUAAAUUGAUAUAACGUGAUAUGCAUGAUAUUUUGAAUAUGAUUGAUUGAUCUUUGAUAUUGGUUAAUAUGUAACAUAUUAGAAUUUCGAGAAACUAAUGUAUUGGUAUGUUAGAAAGAGCGAAAUCCGAGAUUUAGGCUUGAGUAUAAUGAACAAAGCAACCAAAAGAUGGAUUUACAGGGACUACCGUAAGUUACGGUAGUACCGUAAGUUACGGUAGCGGUCAGGAGCUUACGGUGUGAGUCUACUGGUUUACGAUGGACCAUUAUUGGAAAUUGACCACCGUAACUUACGGUGAAACCGUAAGUUACGGUAGGGCCUGAAUGUUUAUAAAUUUUAUAUAAUUGUAAAUUUUCAAAUUCAUUUCGAUCGUAGUUUCGAUCAAGUAUCAUUUCUAAGCAUUCUAAUAUAAAUGUUUAUGUAAACAUUUCAGUCUUAGGUACUCAAGGAUUAUGGGUGACGAUCAAGCAACUUUUGAAGGACCGAACACAUACUCUUGAAGCUUCCGCAUAAAUCAACUCGGUUUAAACAAUGUUUAUGAUGUAAACUGUUUGCUAAACAACUUUUGAAAUGUUUAAACGACGUACUCAAUUAUGUUAUGUUGUAUUAUUUUAAAAUUGUAACGUUUAAACAAACCCGUAUUUUUACAAAGUAUAUGUAGUCAUAAUUACAUGUUGUUUGUCGUAUACUUUACAAAAACCAUUAAAUAAUGACAAGGGUGUUACAAAUUGGUAAUCAGAGCUCAUGGUUAAAGAGUAAAUUGUGUUCGGUUCGAGGCUUGAUCGCAAAUCCGGUAAGUACAUGUAUAUUAAUGGUUUGUUAUGUGUUGAAAUGUUGUGAACAACACAUAGGGUUAUCGUGUGAUACACGUUACCUCAAUUAAAUGAUAAAUAUAGUUGACAAAAUUGCGCGCGUUGACGCGUAUAGUAGAAAAGCCUUGUAUUAUAAUACGGGCGAUUAUUGAAGUUGAUAUUACUAAUUCUUGUAAAUGUUUUAAUGGAAGGACACUCGCAUCUGAAGAUAGCGAGAGUUUAACAAAUUGCGGAUAUGAUGAUGGAACGGUCCGAAAUGUGACAAGAAGAGCAUACUCAUCAAGGACCUAAAUCGCGUAACGAUCGCAAAUAAGUAAUGGCAAGGAAUGCCCGUUGGGGCAAGCAUUACCAGUUUGACUCUUGACAAGCUAGAUGGAGGCUUGGAAUGAAGCGGGUCAAACGGAGCAAGUACGAAAAGGAAAGCGUAAUUUGGAUGCGAGGGUAAUUGGUUUAUGAAUUAGCGAGGCUAUGAAUUAGCAUAUUAUAGAGACAAGGUCUUAAAACGGGUCAAUAUGUUGACCCGAGCCAGUCUUAGGUACUCAAGGAUUAUGGGUGACGAUCAAGCAACUUUUGAAUGACCGAACACAUACUCUUGAAGCUUCCGCAUAAAUCAAGUCGGUUUAAACAAUGUUUAUGAUGUAAACUGUUUGCUAAACAACUUUUGAAAUGUUUAAACGACGUACUCAAUUAUGUUAUGUUGUAUUAUUUUAAAAUUGUAACGUUUAAACAAACCCGUAUUUUUACAAAGUAUAUGUAGUCAUAAUUACAUGUU